GUCCGGUGGAUAAGCACUGUUUGGCAUAGGUAUGGGUCCCUGUGGGUCUACCCUUCUUUGUGUGCCUGUGCAGAUUUUGUCUGCCCGCUGUGGGCUUGUAGCGUUCUUCUCUCCUGGGGGUCCUGUUUGCCCUGGUUGGUAUGUCCGUGCAGGGGUUGUUUAGGGUAGAUGGUGGGUAGGUGUAGAGUGGGAGAGUAGGUCAAGAACAGGAAAAACAGAGGAAAAGAAGAGUAGUUUG
Pelobates cultripes (western spadefoot toad) is the source of this 238-nucleotide non-coding RNA. The record is from the annotation of a GenBank genome assembly. Lineage: Eukaryota; Metazoa; Chordata; Amphibia; Anura; Pelobatidae.